UCCGGGUUUCGCCCGGCAGUCUCCCUAGAACAUUCAACUAAGGACAGGGGUUGCGCUCGUUGCGGGGGCUACAUCUCUGUAGCUUUCCGGCAUAUGUCAAACCCAGGUAAGGUUCUUCGCGUUGCAUCGAAUUAAUCCGCAUGCUCCGCCGCUUGUGCGGGCCCCCGUCAAUUCCUUUGAGUUUUAGCCUUGCGGCCGUACUCCCCAGGCGGGGCACUUAAUGCGUUAGCUUCGGCACGGAGAACGUGGAAUGUCCCCCACACCUAGUGCCCACCGUUUACGGCGUGGACUAC
This 293-nucleotide unclassified non-coding RNA is filed under the name uncultured Propionibacteriaceae bacterium. Its description in RNAcentral is "contains 16S-23S intergenic spacer region". Lineage: Bacteria; Bacillati; Actinomycetota; Actinomycetes; Propionibacteriales; Propionibacteriaceae. The record is from RNAcentral.